RNAcentral lists this long non-coding RNA (937 nucleotides) under Homo sapiens (human). RNAcentral's name for it is "non-protein coding lnc-CD72-2:4". Lineage: Eukaryota; Metazoa; Chordata; Mammalia; Primates; Hominidae. The record is from RNAcentral.
AUCAUCCGAGCUGUUGGCAUGUGGCCUGUUCCUGAACCCCCAGUUACUGGAACCCCCAGGAUGAUGAGAAGCGAGGGAUGCAAACCAGGAACCCCCAGUCUCAUGGGGAGAACGGAGCCUCACCCUGGAGCUGGGGAGAUCGUCUGGACCCAGGGGCUGAUGAUGAUGGGGAAAUCACCUACGAGAAUGUUCAAGUGCCCGCAGUCCUAGGGGUGCCCUCAAGCUUGGCUUCUUCUGUACUAGGGGACAAAGCAGCGGUCAAGUCGGAGCAGCCAACUGCGUCCUGGAGAGCCGUGACGUCACCAGCUGUCGGGCGGAUUCUCCCCUGUGAGUGUGCCUGUGCGGGGCAGCCGCGGGGCCAAGUGCUCGCGCCUGUCCCGGCUGCGGAUGGCGCUGGGCCCCGCGGGGUGCAGCUCCUUCCGGGAUAAACCCGGGCGCAGUCCUUCCGACGCCCGGGCUGCCGUGCCACAUUCACCUUCAUCCGGUGCGCCUGAAUCCGACGUGCACCGCCCCCCUGCGGAUGGUCCCAAUUCACCUACCUGCCCCCCUUCCCCUCUCUCCGUCUGAUAUUUCCUUCCCCUUCUCCCAGGUAACGCCCCCGAGUCCCCACCAGCACUGAUUCUGGAACACCCUCUCCCCUACCUGCGAAACACCCCGCUACCCGACAGAAACCACCAUGCUUGCCCCCUCAGCUCUGCACCGCCCUCCUCUUAGGGAUGCCUUCCCCAGGGGUCUCCCCCACGGACCUGUCCCUUCCUCUCUACAUUCUUUACGGGGGCUGACUGCCCUCAUCCAUCCCACUGUCCCCCUAAGGCCGCACAACCUGCCUGCGAUACCUCCUGCUCGGCCUGCUCCUCACCUGCCUGCUGUUAGGAGUGACCGCCAUCUGCCUGGGAGUGCGCUGUGAGUAAGGCUGUCCCUACUUCCCACUUACACC